This 440-nucleotide ribosomal RNA is filed under the name uncultured bacterium. RNAcentral's name for it is "partial 16S ribosomal RNA". It matches the Rfam family "Bacterial small subunit ribosomal RNA", at positions 338 to 795 of the family's 1533-position model. The record is from RNAcentral.
CCUACGGGAGGCAGCAGUGGGGGAUAUUGCACAAUGGGGGAAACCCUGAUGCAGCGACGCCGCGUGUGGGAAGACGGUCCUCUGGAUUGUAAACCACUGUCCCCAGGGACUAAGAUGACGGUACCUGGUGAGGAAGCUCCGGCAAACUACGUGCCAGCAGCCGCGGUAAUACGUAGGGAGCGAGCGUUGUCCGGAAGUACUGGGUGUAAAGGGAGCGUAGGCGGGGAUGCAAGUUGGGUGUCAAAACUACCGGCUAAACUGGUAGUCGCAUCCAACACUGCAGCUCUUGAGUGAAGUAGAGGCAGGCGGAAUUCCUAGUGUAGCGGUGAAAUGCGUAGAUAUUAGGAGGAACACCAGUGGCGAAGGCGGCCUGCUGGGCUUUUACUGACGCUGAGGCUCGAAAGUGUGGGGAGCAAACAGGAUUAGAUACCCUUGUAGUC